Molecule: small nucleolar RNA, 118 nt
Filed under: Castor canadensis (American beaver)
Lineage: Eukaryota; Metazoa; Chordata; Mammalia; Rodentia; Castoridae
Description: U8 small nucleolar RNA (ENSCCNG00000003364.1)
Rfam family: U8 small nucleolar RNA
About the family: U8 is a member of the C/D class of snoRNA which contain the C (UGAUGA) and D (CUGA) box motifs.
Source: Rfam by way of RNAcentral
CUAGCAGGUUGGAUAAUCCUUACCUGUCCCUCUGUUUGGAGGGCAGGUAGAAAUCAUGAUACGUGUUACUGUCUCAGCAUAAUCACGAUUUGCAACACCCUGAUUGCUCUUCUCCAAU